This 1080-nucleotide long non-coding RNA is filed under the name Amborella trichopoda. RNAcentral's name for it is "long non-coding RNA (ATRI_LNC001355)". The record is from RNAcentral. Lineage: Eukaryota; Viridiplantae; Streptophyta; Magnoliopsida; Amborellales; Amborellaceae.
UCUGUGAUAUAUUUGUAUUAUUGUCAUAUAUAUUUGUCUAUAUAAUACUAGCUUGUAUAUUUAUAUUGAUUGAUAGACAUUGAAUCUUUUCAUAGAAAUAUGAAACUCUUCACCACACUAAAUACUUCUUAGGUAAAAUAUUUUCAAUUUGGAUAAUUUAUUAAAGAUACCCAUCCAUUUAAUUAUAAGAUAAAAGAAGUCAAAUUCUAAAAAAUGAAUAUGAUGGAGAGGAAAUGGAAUUUUUUAUCAUUCAUGAAAGUUAAAGAGUGGGUUUCUUCUUUCCCACCAACCGUGAUCCAAGAGAUUCCUUGCAUAUGACACCGGCCAAAAGUUUUGUCCCAACUUUUUGUAGGGUCUUCUUCAGCCCCAGACGAAAAGGAUCGGAUUUACAUGUUCAAUUUAAAUACCCUAAACCAUGUUUCAAAUGACCCAAACACCCUAUUCGACCCAAAUUUCAUUGACCUCACGUAUUGUUGUUUGGUUUGUCAUUGAAGUUUUAUAUGUGGUUUAUUUAUGUAAUUAAUCUCACUAUUAAAUAGGUGGGAUAAGGUUAGGAGAGUAAUAAUGGUGAACUUCAACGAAUAUAAUCAAUUAUAAGAUUUAGGAAAAAGAGAAAAAUACAAUAAAAAGAGCACAUUCUUAUUGGGAUAUUGAUUGCUCUAUAGAAGAGGGCAUAUGGACACAUUUACAGGAUGGGAUAGGGGUUCGUAUUGCAUCUUCCAUUGGCAGCAUACUGUGUAAUAACUCUCUUGGUCAAUUGGAGAAUUUUUUGGAUCAUAGAUGUUGAUAUCCAUCUAAAGAUAUAUUUGAGUUCUUCAAUACUUAGAUAUUGCCUACCAAUUAUUGGAUAGCUUCAAUCUUGAAGGGUUAUUUGCCCAUAACAUAGCAUGGUCGUUUAUUUUUUUUUUUCUCCUCCUUUAUUUAUUUUUGAAGUUUUCCAAUGUUAUGGAGAACCUGCCUAGGAAACCUACUUGGGAGGAUUUUUUGAAUCUAAAAUUUGAAAACUACUUAAAAAUCACUACAUGAUUAUUUUCAAACGAGAAAAUUUAAAUUUUGAGUUUUUUAACGCUUAGAUUUCAC